GGUAGCAGCCCCUGGUAUAUCCAGGACAUCAGCACAUAGAACCAGUGAAAGGGUCCUCCCUCAUAGUGACGCAUGUCAUAGACUCAGAUUUAUACAAACAAAUGCUGAGCAAACCAUGAAGAGUCUCUGGUAUUUUCAACAAUAUCAUCACAGAGGAACUGUAUUGAUUUCCUUCUGGAAUAUAAACUUGCAUGAGAAAAAGAUUCUUCCUUCACAUGAGAAUGAUCACAAACCCUCAGCACCCACCGACAGGGUGAAGGAAACUCAAGAGGACUCACCUUAAGUGGAGACAGCAAAUUAAUUUAUUUAGAAUAUGCCAGCUCUUUAUCAUUUGGCUAAACUAUAGCCUCUCAAGGUUUGUUUCCCUGGGACUGAAGGAUUCUCUAAAGAAAAAUGACAUCAAGAAAAUUAUCUCAAGAGGCAGAACUUUCAAACAGCAAUGGGAGGCUUUCCAAGUGAUGUUUUGGACUUUGAUCUGCAGCAGAACUACCAAGCAGCAUUACUCCCUCCUAACCAAGAAAGCCACCAAUGCCUAACCAAUGAAUUCCAUCUGCUGAAAUGCUUGCAAAUGCUUCUGCCUUCUGAGAAGGAAGAGAUGGAGGAGGCCCCAUUACAUGAUGGAAAUUAGAGAGUCUUAGUACACAGUGGGCGGGGGGUCAAGAAUGAGCUGAACAGAGACAGCAGAGUGACCAAAUAGAGCACACAGCCUGGACGGCAAGGCCUGAAUUCUCAUCUCCAUCAAGCUGGGGCUCUCUGACUUACAGGGCCCCAUCUAUAAAACAAAACUGUGUGAAAUGAUGCUGAAGUCUCUUCCUUCUCUAAAAUUGUGCAUCUUGAAUUGCUCUCGAUUCUGAUCUUGGUAUGUCUUUUAAUGGACAUGAAAAAAUGCCUGUAUCUGAUGCAAUGUUGUCUAAGUCAACGAUUACAAAAAUGUUAGAAUUUUAUGAGCAACCUGGGAAAAUCCUAACACAGAGUAAAAUAAAACCAUGGCUUCAGACUUUUUAAAAUGACAAUAAAUAAAAGAUUAACAAAGAGAUCAAUAAAA
This is a long non-coding RNA of Homo sapiens (human), 1045 nucleotides long. Ensembl annotates it as long intergenic non-protein coding RNA 1255. The record is from Ensembl. Lineage: Eukaryota; Metazoa; Chordata; Mammalia; Primates; Hominidae.